UUGGUGUGUAUUUGCAUGUCGAAUCCCUGUUUAGGCAGCGAAGGCAAUGUUGUACACACCUUUUCAGUGGUUGGCUAAAGCUUGGCAUUUGCUGGCUUUCCUCGGUUUCUUGUGAUGCAUACCUCUAAGAAGGGUACUUGGUUGGUCUAAUUUCUCCCCAUUCUUUAGUUGCACUAAACCCUUUGUGGUUGAUGUGUGACUUAAGACUAUGAAGCAUUCAUAGUGUUCCACGCCCCGAGCCCUUUCUUGUGCUUCGGGUUGUUGGCACAUUAUGUGGUGAUUGAUCUCUUGGAUAUGGAAUAUUGGGUGGGUACGAAGCAUUUUGCUUCUAUUUGCCCCAAAAUUAAGCGUCCGACGCCUCUUGCGUACGACUAUUGUUCUCGUUUUGUUUUGGGCCAUUAGGCUCGAAUCAUGCGCUAACAAUGUCGAUGAGGAA
RNAcentral lists this unclassified non-coding RNA (436 nucleotides) under Glossostigma elatinoides. RNAcentral describes it as "partial external transcribed spacer". The record is from RNAcentral. Lineage: Eukaryota; Viridiplantae; Streptophyta; Magnoliopsida; Lamiales; Phrymaceae.